AUGAACGCUGGCGGCGUGCCUAAUACAUGCAAGUCGAGCGAACAGACGAGGAGCUUGCUCCUCUGACGUUAGCGGCGGACGGGUGAGUAACACGUGGAUAACCUACCUAUAAGACUGGGAUAACUUCGGGAAACCGGAGCUAAUACCGGAUAAUAUAUUGAACCGCAUGGUUCCAUAGUGAAAGACGGUUUUGCUGUCACUUAUAGAUGGAUCCGCGCCGCAUUAGCUAGUUGGUAAGGUAACGGCUUACCAAGGCAACGAUGCGUAGCCGACCUGAGAGGGUGAUCGGCCACACUGGAACUGAGACACGGUCCAGACUCCUAAGGGAGGCAGCAGUAGGGAAUCUUCCGCAAUGGGCGAAAGCUUGACGGAGCAACGCCGCGUGAGUGAUGAAGGUCUUCGGAUCGUAAAACUCUGUUAUUAGGGAAGAACAAAUGUGUAAGUAACUAUGCACGUCUUGACGGUACCUAAUCAGAAAGCCACGGCUAACUACGUG
RNAcentral lists this ribosomal RNA (496 nucleotides) under uncultured bacterium. RNAcentral describes it as "partial 16S ribosomal RNA". It matches the Rfam family "Bacterial small subunit ribosomal RNA", at positions 29 to 507 of the family's 1533-position model. The record is from RNAcentral.